UUGACGGUACCCUACUAGAAAGGAGCCGCUAACUUCGUGCCAGAAGCGUCGGUAAUACGGGGGCUCCAAGCGUUAUCCGGUGUUAUUGGGCGUAAAGAGUCGUGUAGGUGGUUGGGUAAGUUAUCUUUCAAAUAUCUUUGCUUAACAAAGAGGAGGGGGAUAAUACUGCUCGACUAGAAUUUCCUCAAGGGAGAUCGGAACUGAGGGAGGAGUAGUGAAAUGCGUUGAUACCCUCGGGAACACCAGUGGCGUAGGCGGAUCUCUGGGAGAAGAUUGACACUGAGACACGAAAGCUAGGGGAGCGAAGCAGAUUAGAGACCUGCGUAGUCCUAGCCGUAAACGCAUGCUUGCUAGCUGCAUGAAUCUACCUUCGGGUGGUAUCGUGUGGCGAAGGUAACCCGUUAAGCAAGCCGCCUGGAAAGUACGGCCGCAAGGCUGAAAUUCAAAGGAAUUGGCGGGGAGGCACACAACCAGUGGAACAUGUGGUUUAAUUCGAGACUAACCGAAGAACCUCACCAGGGUUUGACAUGUAGCUGCACGUCUUAAGAAAUUAAGACUCUCUUGAAGGUGCUACGCAGGUGCUGCAUGGCUGUCGUCAGCUCGUUCCGUGAGGAGUGCCCUUAAGUGGGACAACGAGCGCAACCCCUAUUACAUGUUAGAAAUGUCAUGUAAGACUGCCUUGCCAUUUGGCGGGGAGGAAGGAGGGGCAGACGUCAGGUCCGCAUGGUCCUUAUGCCCUGGGCUACACACAUGUUACAAUGAGUACGGCAAUGAGUCUGUCGCGAGCACGUAAGUGUAAGCUAAUCUCUUAAAUGUACUCUCAGUGGGGAUUGAGGUCUGCAACUCGACCUCAUGAACACGGAAUUGGUAGUAAUCGCGGGUCAGCUAUACCGCGGUGAUACGUUCUUGCCUCUUGCACACACCGCCCGUCAAACCAGCAAAGU
Molecule: ribosomal RNA, 944 nt
Filed under: uncultured organism
Description: bacterial SSU rRNA
Rfam family: Bacterial small subunit ribosomal RNA
Source: RNAcentral